CUCAAGCCCCCUCGGGGGCCUGGCGUUGGGGAUCGGCCCCGCCUGCGGCGGCCGGCCCCGAAAUAUAGUGGCGGUCACGCCGCGGCACCCUCUGCGUAGUAGAAACACCUCGCACCGGGACGCGGCGCGGCCACGCCGUAAACAAGACGAAUUUUACCAAGGUUGACCUCGGAUCAGGUAGGAAUACCCGCUGAACUUAA
RNAcentral lists this unclassified non-coding RNA (200 nucleotides) under soil metagenome. Its description in RNAcentral is "partial contains internal transcribed spacer 2 and large subunit ribosomal RNA". The record is from RNAcentral.